GAUAUGGUGGCCGAGUGGUUAAGGCGUGGCGUCCAGGUUGCCAUGGGCAUUGCCCGCGCAGGUUCGAACCCUGUCCAUGUCG
RNAcentral lists this transfer RNA (82 nucleotides) under Candida tropicalis. Its description in RNAcentral is "tRNA-Leu (CAG) (tRNA-Leu-CAG-1-1)". It matches the Rfam family "tRNA". Rfam says of the family: Transfer RNA (tRNA) molecules are approximately 80 nucleotides in length. Their secondary structure includes four short double-helical elements and three loops (D, anti-codon, and T loops). Further hydrogen bonds mediate the characteristic L-shaped molecular structure. tRNAs have two regions of fundamental functional importance: the anti-codon, which is responsible for specific mRNA codon recognition, and the 3' end, to which the tRNAs corresponding amino acid is attached (by aminoacyl-tRNA synthetases). tRNAs cope with the degeneracy of the genetic code in two manners: having more than one tRNA (with a specific anti-codon) for a particular amino acid; and 'wobble' base-pairing, i.e. permitting non-standard base-pairing at the 3rd anti-codon position. Lineage: Eukaryota; Fungi; Ascomycota; Pichiomycetes; Serinales; Debaryomycetaceae. RNAcentral also lists the same sequence under 1 other name. The record is from RNAcentral.